Molecule: non-coding RNA, 399 nt
Organism: Cricetulus griseus (Chinese hamster)
Lineage: Eukaryota; Metazoa; Chordata; Mammalia; Rodentia; Cricetidae
Source: RefSeq, a predicted model, not a curated record
CUGGAACUCAGAGAGAACAGAGAUUCACACUGCAGGCUACACAGCUGGACCUUUACAGAAGACGUUCCUACUCUAGACUGGAAGCUCUGUUUGCACUCUUCCAUCUCAAGCACAUAGGAAGUUGCCUGGAAUUCAGUAUUAAUCCAUCUUGGAGAUGACUCAGCCAAUAGAGUGCCACAUGCAUGCAGACCUGAGUCCAGAGCCCCAAUACCCAUGCAAACAACGAGGCCUGGCAGUGCAAGUGGUAACCCCAGAGAUGCAGAUUACAGGCACAAGCUUCCUGUGCAAAACCAGCAAGACCAGCAAAACCUUGAAGCCUGUUGGCCAGUCAGCCUGACUGAACCUAUGAACUUCAGGUCCGGUGAGAGACCCUGCCUCAAAAAAUAAACAUGGAGAAUG